This 593-nucleotide ribosomal RNA is filed under the name uncultured Burkholderia sp. RNAcentral's name for it is "bacterial SSU rRNA". It matches the Rfam family "Bacterial small subunit ribosomal RNA", at positions 329 to 915 of the family's 1533-position model. Lineage: Bacteria; Pseudomonadati; Pseudomonadota; Betaproteobacteria; Burkholderiales; Burkholderiaceae. The record is from RNAcentral.
AGAGUCACUCCUACGGGAGGCAGCAGUGGGGAAUUUUGGACAAUGGGGGCAACCCUGAUCCAGCAAUGCCGCGUGUGUGAAGAAGGCCUUCGGGUUGUAAAGCACUUUUGUCCGGAAAGAAAACCGCUUCUCUAAUACAGAGGCGGGAUGACGGUACCGGAAGAAUAAGCACCGGCUAACUACGUGCCAGCAGCCGCGGUAAUACGUAGGGUGCAAGCGUUAAUCGGAAUUACUGGGCGUAAAGCGUGCGCAGGCGGUUCGCUAAGACCGAUGUGAAAUCCCCGGGCUUAACCUGGGAACUGCAUUGGUGACUGGCGGGCUAGAGUAUGGCAGAGGGGGGUAGAAUUCCACGUGUAGCAGUGAAAUGCGUAGAGAUGUGGAGGAAUACCGAUGGCGAAGGCAGCCCCCUGGGCCAAUACUGACGCUCAUGCACGAAAGCGUGGGGAGCAAACAGGAUUAGAUACCCUGGUAGUCCACGCCCUAAACGAUGUCAACUAGUUGUCGGGUCUUCAUUGACUUGGUAACGAAGCUAACGCGUGAAGUUGACCGCCUGGGGAGUACGGUCGCAAGAUUAAAACUCAAAGGAAUUGACG